This 257-nucleotide unclassified non-coding RNA is filed under the name plant metagenome. RNAcentral describes it as "partial contains small subunit ribosomal RNA, internal transcribed spacer 1, and 5.8S ribosomal RNA". The record is from RNAcentral.
UUUCCGUAGGUGAACCUGCGGAAGGAUCAUCAUCGUAAAACCGAGGUGCGAGGGCUGUCGCUGACCUUUUCGGUCGUGCACGCCCGAGCGCCCUCACACAAUCCAUCUCACCCCUUGUGCACCACCGCGUGCGUCCCUUUCUGGCUCGUCCGGAGGGGGUCUCGCGUUUUCACACAAACUUGAAGUAGUGUAGAAUGUCCUUUUUUUGAGAUAACACGCAAUCAAUACAACUUUCAACAACGGAUCUCUUGGCUCUC